UCCUGGGCCAUUAGCUCAGGUGGUUAGAGCGCACCCCUGAUAAGGGUGAGGUCCCUGGUUCAAGUCCAGGAUGGCCCAUAUCUCUAUGUUGGGGGUAUAGCUCAGUUGGUAGAGCGCCUGCUUUGCAAGCAGGAUGUCAGCGGUUCGAGUCCGCUUACCUCCACUGAAUACCACCUCUUACAUAUAGUUGAAGUGGGAAAUUGUUUUGAGUCGUGUCCUAAUUUGCUCUGAGCGAAUCUAGCUUCCUAUUUUAUCCAAGAAAUAAGAUGCUGGACUCAUUGAAUUUUUUUUCAUUGUUUUCAGAGAACCUUGACAACUGCAUAGAUUAUUCUUAAAGACAAUAAGCAUCUUUAAUGAUGCAGAUUUAUUAUUUGUGCGAAUGCAUUAAAUAACAAUUCUAUUAAGCUGAUGCUUCAAUUAUUGAAGUUAUUGGUCAAGCUACAAAGGGCUCACGGAGGAUACCUAGGCACACAGAGGCGAUGAA
Molecule: transfer RNA, 484 nt
Filed under: uncultured cyanobacterium
Lineage: Bacteria; Bacillati; Cyanobacteriota
Description: partial contains 16S-23S ribosomal RNA intergenic spacer and 23S ribosomal RNA
Rfam family: tRNA (bases 91-163)
Source: RNAcentral